This 253-nucleotide ribosomal RNA is filed under the name uncultured bacterium. RNAcentral describes it as "partial 16S ribosomal RNA". It matches the Rfam family "Bacterial small subunit ribosomal RNA", at positions 524 to 776 of the family's 1533-position model. The record is from RNAcentral.
UACGUAGGGCGCAAGCGUUGUCCGGAAUUAUUGGGCGUAAAGAGCUCGUAGGUGGCGUGUCGCGUCUGCCGUGAAAGCCCAUGGCUUAACUGUGGGUCUGCGGUGGAUACUGUCGGGCUCGAGUCCGGAAGAGGCGAGUGGAAUUCCUGGUGUAGCGGUGGAAUGCGCAGAUAUCAGGAGGAACACCAAUGGCGAAGGCAGCUCGCUGGGACGGUACUGACGCUAAGGCGCGAAAGCGUGGGGAGCAAACAGG